GACGAACGCUGGCGGCGUGCCUAACACAUGCAAGUCGAACGGAACUUCUUUAAAGGACUUCUUCGGAAUGAAUUUGAUUAAGUUUAGUGGCGGACGGGUGAGUAACGCGUGAGUAACCUGCCUCUAAGAGGGGAAUAACAUUCUGAAAAGAAUGCUAAUACCGCAUAAUAUAUAUUUAUCGCAUGGUAGAUAUAUCAAAGAUUUAUCGCUUAGAGAUGGACUCGCGUCCGAUUAGUUAGUUGGUGAGGUAACGGCUCACCAAGACCGCGAUCGGUAGCCGGACUGAGAGGUUGAACGGCCACAUUGGGACUGAGACACGGCCCAGACUCCUACGGGAGGCAGCAGUGGGGGAUAUUGCGCAAUGGGGGAAACCCUGACGCAGCAACGCCGCGUGAAGGAUGAAGGUCUUCGGAUUGUAAACUUCUUUUAUUAAGGACGAAGAAAGUGACGGUACUUAAUGAAUAAGCUCCGGC
This 473-nucleotide ribosomal RNA is filed under the name uncultured bacterium. Its description in RNAcentral is "bacterial SSU rRNA". It matches the Rfam family "Bacterial small subunit ribosomal RNA", at positions 28 to 497 of the family's 1533-position model. The record is from RNAcentral.